RNA transcript from Panicum virgatum (switchgrass), 1009 nucleotides. RefSeq lists it as uncharacterized. The record is from RefSeq and is a predicted model, not a curated record. The transcript has 3 exons. NCBI's taxonomy places the organism in Eukaryota, Viridiplantae, Streptophyta, Magnoliopsida, Poales, Poaceae.
GACGCCGCCAGCUUCGCGACGCCGACGCCGACGCCGCUCGCCCCUCCCCCCGUCCCCCGCGGUAAUUCUGCGCGCGCCGUCAGCCUCGCGACGCCGUCUUCCCCGAUUGACCCCCUCCCUCCCCUGUGCUCGCGACGCCGCCUUCCCCGAUGGACCCCGCAGCAAUUCCGCCCCCGUCGCGCCUCCCACGCCGCACCACGUGACCCUCCGUCGCGGCACCGUCACCCUGCCACGCCGCCGCAGCCUGCAACGCCGACUCCCCGUCGCAGCACUGUCACCCUACCACGCCGCCUGGAGGGAGUCAAGUUCAGGAUGACAGUCGAGAUCCCGCCGCCCGAUGACUUCAAGGGAACCCGGUGAGGAAGAUAGCGAAAAGGCCGGACACAAUUGUUGUCUGUGGUGUGCCGUCCAGGUGGUUUGCGGAAACAAGAGUAUCAUCCAAGCCAUCUACACUGGUCAUGCACACAAUUUUCUCAGCACUAGGUAAAAUAAGAUCAUAGGUUUUUACAUUGGACUUUUGGAAGAGUGGACAGAAAGGUUUCUUAAAUGUCAUUUAUUCUGUACAUUCUUUUACAGUCAAGAUCGCAUUUUUGCUUUCUGUACUGCAUAUAUAGAAUCCUAUUCAAAAUGUUGGGCCUAUCGUCACAAUAAUCCCAUUAUAAGUUUGAUCAGUGGUUCAUGUUUUGCUGAAAUGGACAUAACUGAUAAUACUCUAUUGAUUCAUUGGCAGCAAGUUCGAUUUGCAUUUGUUUGUUGGGAUUCUGAUGUUAGGAGGGAACUAAUAAGAUGUAGCCUAUUGGUUCACAAUUAGGUUUUAAUCAUAUAGAUGAAUUUCUCAGUAAUCCAUUUUUUUAUCUAUAGAAUUGUGAGUUUUAUGUUUUCUUUAAGUGAGUUCCUUUGAAAAUAUUUGUUUUACAGCAGGGUCUCCCUUCCCCUGUUGAUUUUAGUAAUAUUUACAUCCUUCCUGAGUUCGGGCCCAUCCUAAGCUUUGAUCAGGUGGUUCAGGAGG